UGAGUCGGCCAGACGAUCGCUCUUCAGUUUACUGUUGGGAGGAAAGUCCGGGCUCCGCAGGGCAAGGCGCCAGGUAACUCCUGGGAGGUGCGAGCCUACGGAAAGUGCAACAGAAAAUAAACCGCCUACGUAGCGCAAGCUGCCGGUAAGGUUGAAAUGGUGCGGUAAGAGCGCACCGCGCUUCUGGUAACAGAAGUGGCAGUGAAAACCCAAUCCGGUGCAAGACCAAAUAGGGAAACGCCGUGGCUAAGCUUGUCUUAGUCACAACCUGCUGCUCGCAGGAGUUUCCGGGUAGGUUGCUUGAGGCUGGCAGUGAUGUCAGUCCAGAUGAAUGGUUGUCACUCGCAAGAGUACAGAACCCGGCUUAUAGACUGACCCCGUAA
RNAcentral lists this RNase P RNA (383 nucleotides) under Zhongshania sp. Its description in RNAcentral is "RNase P RNA component class A". It matches the Rfam family "Bacterial RNase P class A". Rfam says of the family: Ribonuclease P (RNase P) is a ubiquitous endoribonuclease, found in archaea, bacteria and eukarya as well as chloroplasts and mitochondria. Its best characterised activity is the generation of mature 5'-ends of tRNAs by cleaving the 5'-leader elements of precursor-tRNAs. Cellular RNase Ps are ribonucleoproteins. The record is from RNAcentral. Lineage: Bacteria; Pseudomonadati; Pseudomonadota; Gammaproteobacteria; Cellvibrionales; Spongiibacteraceae.